RNAcentral lists this ribosomal RNA (497 nucleotides) under uncultured bacterium. Its description in RNAcentral is "partial 16S ribosomal RNA". It matches the Rfam family "Bacterial small subunit ribosomal RNA", at positions 28 to 507 of the family's 1533-position model. The record is from RNAcentral.
GAUGAACGCUGGCGGCGUGCCUAAUACAUGCAAGUCGAGCGAACGUACUCGAAGCUUGCUUCUCUGCUGUUAGCUGCCGCCUGAUUAGUCACCCGUGGAUAACCUACCUAUACUACUGAGAUAACUUCGGUACACCGUAGCUAAUACCGGCUAAUAUUUUGAACCGCAUGUUUCAAAAUUGAAAGACGGUCUUGCUUUCACUUAUAGAUGGAUCCGCGCUGCAUUAGCUAGUUGGUAAGGUAAUGGCUUACCAAGGAAACGAUGCAUAGCCGACCUGAGAGGGUGAUCGGCCACACUGGAACGGAGACACGGUCCAGACUCAUACGGGAGGCAGCAGUAGGGAAUCGUCCGCAAUGGGCGAAAGCCUGACGGAGCAACGCCGCGGGAGUGAUGAAGGUGUUCGGAUCGUAAAACUCUGUUAUAAGGGAAGAACAUAUGUGUAAGUAACGGUGCAGAGCGUGAAGGUACCUAAUCAGAAAGCCACGGCUAACUACGUG